AACGUAGGAGGCGAGCGUUAUCCGGAUUUACUGGGCGUAAAGCGUGUGUAGGCGGUACGGCAAGUUGGAUGUGAAAGCUCCUGGCUUAACUAGGAGAGGUCGUUCAAUACUACCGAACUUGAGGGCAUCAGAGGAAGGUGGAAUUCCCGGUGUAGUGGUGAAAUGCGUAGAUAUCGGGAGGAACACCAGUGGCGAAAGCGGCCUUCUGGGAUGAUCCUGACGCUCAGACACGAAAGCUAGGGUAGCGAACGGGAUUAGAGACCCCGGUAGUCCUAGCAGUAAACGAUGUAGACUUGGUGUCGGAGGUGUCAAAACCUUCGGUAUCGUAGCUAACGCGAUAAGUCUACCGCCUGGGGACUACGGCCGCAAGGUUA
Molecule: ribosomal RNA, 374 nt
Filed under: uncultured prokaryote
Description: bacterial SSU rRNA
Rfam family: Bacterial small subunit ribosomal RNA
Source: RNAcentral